GCUCAAAUUUGAAAUCUUAAAGGGUUUCCCUUUACGAAUUGUAGUUUAAAGAAGUGUUUUCUGUUGAGGUUUUGGUAAAAGUUCUUUGGAAUAGGACAUCAUAGAGGGUGAGAAUCCCGUAUUUGACCUUUACUUUCAACUUUGUGAUACACUUUCAAAGAGUCGGAUUGUUUGGGAAUGCAGUCCAAAAUGGGUGGUAAAUUUCAUCUAAAGCUAAAUAUUGGCGAGAGACCGAUAGCGAACAAGUACCGUGAGGGAAAGAUGAAGAGAACUUUGAAAAGAGAGUUAAACAGUACGUGAAAUUGUCAAAAGGGAAGCGUUUGACACCAGUGUUGUUUUUCUGAAAAUCAAUUAAAGAACUGUUUAUGCUAAGUUGUUUAGACUUUAUCAGCUAACUGUUUAGUUUUGAGCUUUUCUUUAAUGCACUUUUCAGUUAACAAG
RNAcentral lists this ribosomal RNA (441 nucleotides) under uncultured Neocallimastigomycetes. RNAcentral's name for it is "LSU rRNA". It matches the Rfam family "Eukaryotic large subunit ribosomal RNA", at positions 107 to 542 of the family's 3401-position model. Lineage: Eukaryota; Fungi; Neocallimastigomycota; Neocallimastigomycetes. The record is from RNAcentral.